Molecule: long non-coding RNA, 299 nt
Filed under: Capsella rubella
Lineage: Eukaryota; Viridiplantae; Streptophyta; Magnoliopsida; Brassicales; Brassicaceae
Description: long non-coding RNA (CRUB_LNC003350)
Source: RNAcentral
CACGGUGAAAUCUAUCAUAAUUUAGUUAUGUAUUUGAUAAAAUACAAUCUAAUGUUAUUAAAUAUCCAUUUGAUUUUGGGAUUUUAUAUGGUGUUGGAUAUUGUAUAUAUUAGUAGAAUUAGGUGUAUUUAUUUGUGGUCCAAACAAAAAAAAUGGUGUAUUUAAACUCAUGAUAAAAUCCACUGUUACUCAAAAUAUCUACAUGAUUUUGUUGUAUUUUAGCUAGAGAAUUGAUUUUAAAGUUUAUUUGACAAUUUGGGUUUUAGUUACACGGGUUUCAUGUGAUUGAAAGGAAAAAG